This 913-nucleotide ribosomal RNA is filed under the name uncultured marine archaeon. RNAcentral's name for it is "bacterial SSU rRNA". It matches the Rfam family "Archaeal small subunit ribosomal RNA", at positions 1 to 922 of the family's 1478-position model. The record is from RNAcentral.
UCCGGUUGAUCCUGCCGGACCUGACUGCUAUCGGAUUGAUACUAAGCCAUGCGAGUCAUUGUAGCAAUACAAGGCAUACGGCUCAGUAACGCGUAGUCAACCUAACCUAUGGACGGGAAUAACCUCGGGAAACUGAGAAUAAUGCCCGAUAGAACAUUAUACCUGGAAUGGUUUAUGUUCCAAAUGAUUUAUCGCCGUAGGAUGGGACUGCGGCCUAUCAGUUUGUUGGUGAGGUAAUGGCCCACCAAGACUAUUACAGGUACGGGCUCUGAGAGGAGUAGCCCGGAGAUGGGUACUGAGACACGGACCCAGGCCCUAUGGGGCGCAGCAGGCGAGAAAACUUUGCAAUGUGCGAAAGCACGACAAGGUUAAUCCGAGUGAUUUCUGCUAAAGAAAUCUUUUGUUAGUCCUAGAAACACUAACGAAUAAGGGGUGGGCAAGUUCUGGUGUCAGCCGCCGCGGUAAAACCAGCACCUCAAGUGGUCAGGAUGAUUAUUGGGCCUAAAGCAUCCGUAGCCGGCUCUGUAAGUUUUCGGUUAAAUCUGUACGCUUAACGUACAGGCCGCCGGGAAUACUGCAAAGCUAGGGAGUGGGAGAAGUAGACGGUACUCGGUAGGAAGUGGUAAAAUGCUUUGAUCUAUCGAUGACCACCUGUGGCGAAGGCGGUCUACUAGAACACGUCCGACGGUGAGGGAUGAAAGCUGGGGGAGCAAACCGGAUUAGAUACCCGGGUAGUCCCAGCUGUAAACUAUGCAAACUCAGUGAUGCAUUGGCUUGUGGCCAAUGCAGUGCUGCAGGGAAGCCGUUAAGUUUGCCGCCUGGGAAGUACGUACGCAAGUAUGAAACUUAAAGGAAUUGGCGGGGGAGCACCACAAGGGGUGAAGCCUGCGGUUCAAUUGGAGUCAACGCCGGA